Molecule: ribosomal RNA, 253 nt
Filed under: uncultured bacterium
Lineage: Bacteria
Description: partial 16S ribosomal RNA
Rfam family: Bacterial small subunit ribosomal RNA
Source: RNAcentral
UACGUAGGCGGCAAGCGUUGUCCGGAAUUAUUGGGCGUAAAGCGCGCGCAGGCGGUCCUUUAAGUCUGAUGUGAAAGCCCACGGCUCAACCGUGGAGGGUCAUUGGAAACUGGGGGACUUGAGUGCAGAAGAGGAAAGCGGAAUUCCACGUGUAGCGGUGAAAUGCGUAGAUAUUGGGAAGAACACCAGUGGCGAAGGCGGCUCACUGGCCCGGUACUGACGCUGAGGCACGAAAGCGUGGGGAGCAAACAGG